Pelodiscus sinensis (Chinese soft-shelled turtle) is the source of this 1624-nucleotide non-coding RNA. NCBI's taxonomy places the organism in Eukaryota, Metazoa, Chordata, Testudines, Trionychidae. The record is from RefSeq and is a predicted model, not a curated record.
CAAGCGUAGAUGCAACUUUACAGGAAUGAAGAUCAUUGAAAACUAAUGGAACUGAACAGCAGCAGGAAGCUGAGCAAAGGAACGCAAAUAAAAAGCAGCGCUACCAGAUCCAGUGGCUGGAAGCUAAAACAAGAUAAAUUCAAACUGGAAACGAGAUGCCAAUUUGUAACAGUGAGAGGAAUAAACCCCGGGAACAACUUCCCAGUGGCUGUGGCGGACUCUCGGGGUGCAACUCCACUACAAAAUUAACAAAAAGCACAGAGCGAGGCACAUCACCCUGAUCACGCUACCUGCUGAGACGCACCCCCUUUGGAAUAAUCUGGUUCCCACAGAGGCUUGUGUGUACUGAUGUUCUUUUCACAAUGGCGGGGCUACGGGUAAUAUUACAAUAACACCUCUAAGCCCCAAAUCAAAUUCAGGCAUCCACAGACCGUGACCUAACUUAGUGUCCCGAGUGUGCUGCUGGGCACCUCCCAAACCCCAAUCUCGCUUCUCCUGUAAGAAGUGCUGUCUGGUGAAUCUCAUCCUGAGUGCUGUCUACAGACAUAUACCUCUUUGGAGUCAACUGGUUAACUAAGAGCAUGCGUGUAGUGAGGCUUUUGCCGCGCCAUGGCAAUUAGUUAUUAUGAUCCUGCCUGUGGAAAGCUGUGUUUCUGGGGGAAAGUUUCAGCCAAACUGGUUCAGCCCUUUCAGAGAACGAGGUCAGGGAAUGUCUUGUUUUGGCCAUGUUAAAAAGAGGCAUCCUGGCCCAUCUUUUCUUUCAAAAGAUCUAGUGUCCUCAUGCUUUGGAGCAGGGACUUGAAUUUUGGCCAGGGUUGGCCUUGGGCUCAAGGAGGUAUCUUUGGCUGUCCCCGGGGGAAAAUCUGCCCAAAUCUGGCUAAGUGAUAAGCCUUUAGUUUAGAAAAUCUCAUUGUGUAUAAUUUUCUUAUGUCCCUUCUGAUUUCCAGUCUCUCUAUGAUCCCAAUCUCUUCAAUGUCUCCUUACAAAAGAGUUCUCUAAGCCCUUGAUCAAUAGGAAAAGCAUUCGUGCCUGUUUGCUAAAAGCAAAUAUGGGAAACCUGCCAGCAUUAUCUGUUUCUAAGAGAUAAAGUGGUGCUAGCUUGUCUAAAGGUUCAGGGACUCUGCAGCAUGGAGGUUACAGCAAUAAGCAAGAGUGGCUCUGAGAUGCUAAAAAUGCCAGGAAGAUGGCAAUGCUCCUUGCAUGCAGUUAGCUACUGAAAUCUCUGGGCAGAUUCCGAACAAUAUGGGGGUGGGGGUAAUGGGCUGAGGGCUGGGACUGGUGGUGUCUGUUCCCAGCUGUAGGUAGGGAACAGGGCCUGGUGGUUAGAGCAGGGAGGGCUAGGAGCCAAGACUCCUGUGUUCUAUCCCCAGCUCAAGAAGGGAGGGAAAUCUAGUGGUAAGAGCAAGGGAAGGACCAGGAGUCAGAACUGCUGGUUUCUGUUCCCAGCUCUGUCCUGUAGCGUGACCUCCCACUCUCUGUUUAGAUGGUGAAUGCUUCAGGCAGGGACUCUCACCGUGUGUCUGCUCUUUAGCAGCUGGCAACAUGGGGGCUCUCGCUGUGACCAUAACAGACAAGGCUUGUGGACAUCUCUGCUGGGAGCUCCAGCGUACCAUGACACAACACA